This 990-nucleotide ribosomal RNA is filed under the name uncultured bacterium. Its description in RNAcentral is "bacterial SSU rRNA". It matches the Rfam family "Bacterial small subunit ribosomal RNA", at positions 8 to 974 of the family's 1533-position model. The record is from RNAcentral.
AGAGUUUGAUCAUGGCUCAGGACGAACGCUGGCGGCGUGCCUAAUACAUGCAAGUCGAGCGAACUUGCGGGAGCUUGCUCCCAAAAGUUAGCGGCGGACGGGUGAGUAACACGUGGGCAACCUGCCUGUAAGACUGGGAUAACUUCGGGAAACCGGAGCUAAUACCGGAUAAUCCUUUUCCUCACAUGUGGAAAAGUUGAAAGAUGGCUUCGGCUAUCACUUACAGAUGGGCCCGCGGCGCAUUAGCUAGUUGGUGAGGUAACGGCUCACCAAGGCGACGAUGCGUAGCCGACCUGAGAGGGUGAUCGGCCACACUGGGACUGAGACACGGCCCAGACUCCUACGGGAGGCAGCAGUAGGGAAUCUUCCGCAAUGGACGAAAGUCUGACGGAGCAACGCCGCGUGAGUGAUGAAGGUUUUCGGAUCGUAAAACUCUGUUGUUAGGGAAGAACAAGUACCGUUCGAAUAGGGCGGUACCUUGACGGUACCUAACCAGAAAGCCACGGCUAACUACGUGCCAGCAGCCGCGGUAAUACGUAUUGUGGCAAGCGUUGUCCGGAAUUAUUGGGCGUAAAGCGCGCGCAGGCGGUCUUUUAAGUCUGAUGUGAAAGCCCCCGGCUCAACCGGGGAGGGUCAUUGGAAACUGGGAGACUUGAGUGCAGAAUAGGAUACUGGAAUUCCACGUGUAGCGGUGAAAUGCGUAGAAAUGUGGAGGAACACCAGUGGCGAAGGCGACUCUCAUGGUCUGUAACUGACGCUGAGGCGCGAAAGCGUGGGGAGCAAACAGGAUUAGAUACCCUGGUAGUCCACGCCGUAAACGAUGAGUGCUAAGUGUUAGAGGGUUUCCGCCCUUUAGUGCUGCAGCAAACGCAUUAAGCACUCCGCCAGUGGGAGUACGGCCGCAAGGCUGAAAACUCAAAGGAAUUGACGGGGACCCGCACAAGCGGUGGAGCAAUGUGGUUUAAUUCGAAGCAACGCGAAGAACCUUAC